UGAGCGUCAGUCUUUGUCCAGGGGGCCGCCUUCGCCACCGGUAUUCCUCCAGAUCUBUACGCAUUUCACCGCUACACCUGGAAUUCUACCCCCCUCUACAAGACUCAAGCCUGCCAGUUUCAAAUGCAGUUCCCAGGUUGAGCCCGGGGAUUUCACAUCUGACUUAACAGACCGCCUGCGUGCGCUUUACGCCCAGUAAUUCCGAUUAACGCUUGCACCCUCCGUAUUACCGCGGCUGCUGGCACGGAGUUAGCCGGUGCUUCUUCUGCGAGUAACGUCAAUCRCYAAGGUUAUUAACCUUAAYGCCUUCCUCCUCGCUGAAAGUACUUUACAACCCGAAGGCCUUCUUCAUACACGCGGCAUGGCUGCAUCAGGCUUGCGCCCAUUGUGCAAUAUUCCCCACUGCUGCCUCCCGUAGGAGUCUGGACCGUGUCUCAGUUCCAGUGUGGCUGGUCAUCCUCUCAGACCAGCUAGGGAUCGUCGCCUAGGUGAGCCAUUACCCCACCUACUAGCUAAUCCCAUCUGGGCACAUCUGAUGGCAUGAGGCCCGAAGGUCCCCCACUUUGGUCUUGCGACGUUAUGCGGUAUUAGCUACCGUUUCCAGUAGUUAUCCCCCUCCAUCAGGCAGUUUCCCAGACAUUACUCACCCGUCCGCCGCUCGUCACCCGAGAGCAAGCUCUCUGUGCUACCGCUCGACUUGCAUGUGUUAGGCSUGCCGCCAGCGUUCAAU
This 730-nucleotide ribosomal RNA is filed under the name Klebsiella ornithinolytica. Its description in RNAcentral is "Raoultella ornithinolytica partial 16S rRNA". The record is from RNAcentral. Lineage: Bacteria; Pseudomonadati; Pseudomonadota; Gammaproteobacteria; Enterobacterales; Enterobacteriaceae.